AUUGAACGCUGGCGGCAUGCUUUACACAUGCAAGUCGAACGGUAACACGCCGCAAGGUUCUGACUAGUGGCGGACGGUUGAGUAAGGCAUCGGAACGUACACAGUCGUGCUUGUUAACUGGUCGAAAGAUUAGCUAAUUCCCCAUACGACCGAAUAAGACAAGCGGGUGAACGCAAGGCAUCUUCCGACUUGACCGGCCGAUGUCAGCUUAGGUAGUUGGUGGGGUAAAGGCUCACCAAGCCAACGAUCUGUAGCUGGUCUGAGAGGACGACCAGCCACACUGGAACUGAGACACGGUCCAGACUCCUACGGGAGGCAGCAGUGGGGAAUUUUGGACAAUGGGCGCAAGCCUGAUCCAGCAAUGCCGCGUGCAUGAAGAAGGCCUUCGGGUUGUAAAGUGCUUUUGUACGGAACGAAAAGCCUCUGGUUAAUACCCGGCGAUAAUGACGGUACCCUAAGAAUAAGCACCGGCUAACUACGUG
RNAcentral lists this ribosomal RNA (482 nucleotides) under uncultured bacterium. RNAcentral describes it as "partial 16S ribosomal RNA". It matches the Rfam family "Bacterial small subunit ribosomal RNA", at positions 30 to 507 of the family's 1533-position model. The record is from RNAcentral.